Non-coding RNA from Vigna umbellata (rice bean), 779 nucleotides. The record is from RefSeq and is a predicted model, not a curated record. NCBI's taxonomy places the organism in Eukaryota, Viridiplantae, Streptophyta, Magnoliopsida, Fabales, Fabaceae.
AGCAGUUUUGAUACAUUUUUGGCCGGCCAUGAAGAAGUAGUUUGGCCAUACCCACAAUCUGUUCCUGCUUGCAUUUCAUCACACCUUAAAACCUGUUCUCUUAAAUAUUACAGUGGUUCUAUAGAUGAGAUUCAAUUUGCAAGUUAUAUUAUGGGGAAUGCAAAAUAUCUACGGAUCAUGAAAAUCUACAUUGACAGUGAAUCCCAUUUUACUUUUGGAGAAAAACUUCAUAUGAAAAGAGAAUUAUCCUCGUGCAUGAAGAGCUCGGAUACUUGUACACUUUCAUUUGAAUAUUCAUCGUGAUGUGAUCAAGCGCCCUGUGAAAGACGAGUCAGAGAAAGUAGCGGCUGGUGUUGAUGAUGAUUUUGUUUCAGAACAAAGAAGCUGUUGACAUACAAAUGAAAGACCUUCAGUUCUUUCAACAAAAUAGUGAGACUUAACAAUGUGGUGAAAAGCCUGAAAUUUCCACUUUACAAUAUGACAUUAUAUUUCAGAAACUAAGUUGAUUUAGCCUUUUGGUUUACUCACAGAAAAAUUGACAGUCAUCAUAGAUCACAUUCUCUUAUUUUUGAGAUCCAUAUUGAAUGUUGGGGUCAUGAUUUUUUGAAAACAGAAAUUUCAUGUAGUUACUGUCAGCAGAAUAGAUGGUGAAAGUAGCAGUAAAUGAUGUCUGUAAAGGGUGUUUUGUUUUUUAAACUCUUGAAGUGUUCUGAUCUAGUGUUAGUUCUUUCCUUCUACUCACCUUCUGAAAUGAAGAGCCUAGCUAGUUAUUGUAUCAA